GGUAAAUCAACAGCAGACCUGGCAACCCGCUCCGGGCUAAAGGACAGUACCACUCUCCUCUCUCUUUCCAGAUCUUUCCGUGUCUCAUCCUCCGUGUGUCCACGUAGCGGUCUUCAUCCCCGCUGGAUCCAUAAUGCACCAGGCUGACCACAGGAUGGCGCCCAAGAGAGUGUUAAGAUUCCCCUGAAGGUCUCAGGUCCAGAUGAUUGGCCAUCACUGACACUCACAGAUACUGUGGGAGGAGAUGAGGCCAUAUUAGACCAAAGACAAACAACAGUGAGCUGAUGGAAUUCAGUAUAGAUCAUCUUUAAAUGCAUGUGGUGAACUGUUAGCAUCACCCCCCACUCACCCACCCUUCACUGAAAAUGACAUGGUUUUAUUGAAUAAAGGAAAAAUGACAUGUAAAUGUUGUUGUCGAAGAAUGUGUUUCAUUUUUAUUUCUUCUGUAAAUGAGUUGAAUAAGUCCAGUUUCCUCAUUUGUGAAUCCUUACAUGUCUUUGCAGUGGAAGUAUAUAUUAAUGUCAUGUUCACAUCUUAGCAGGAAGAAUAACUUCAAACUGGAAGUCAAACUGAAGUAGAUAUUGAUAAAGUGAACCUAAAUCUUGGCUGAUUUAAAGGGGAACUAUGGCAGAUUUAUACCUUAUUGUUAGUUUUCCAAACCUUGAAAAAUCUGAAAUUUUGUGUAAGAGUUUUAAUAAAAUAUGG
Sphaeramia orbicularis (orbiculate cardinalfish) is the source of this 705-nucleotide long non-coding RNA. RefSeq lists it as uncharacterized. The record is from RefSeq and is a predicted model, not a curated record. The transcript has 2 exons. Lineage: Eukaryota; Metazoa; Chordata; Actinopteri; Kurtiformes; Apogonidae.